Molecule: ribosomal RNA, 465 nt
Filed under: Vreelandella stevensii
Lineage: Bacteria; Pseudomonadati; Pseudomonadota; Gammaproteobacteria; Oceanospirillales; Halomonadaceae
Description: partial 16S ribosomal RNA
Rfam family: Bacterial small subunit ribosomal RNA
Source: RNAcentral
CCUACGGGAGGCUGCAGUGGGGAAUAUUGGACAAUGGGCGAAAGCCUGAUCCAGCCAUGCCGCGUGUGUGAAGAAGGCCUUCGGGUUGUAAAGCACUUUCAGUGGGGAAGAAAGCCUUGGGGCUAAUACCCUCGAGGAAGGACAUCACCCACAGAAGAAGCACCGGCUAACUCCGUGCCAGCAGCCGCGGUAAUACGGAGGGUGCGAGCGUUAAUCGGAAUUACUGGGCGUAAAGCGCGCGUAGGCGGUCUGAUAAGCCGGUUGUGAAAGCCCCGGGCUCAACCUGGGAACGGCAUCCGGAACUGUCAGGCUAGAGUGUAGGAGAGGAAGGUAGAAUUCCCGGUGUAGCGGUGAAAUGCGUAGAGAUCGGGAGGAAUACCAGUGGCGAAGGCGGCCUUCUGGACUGACACUGACGCUGAGGUGCGAAAGCGUGGGUAGCAAACAGGAUUAGAUACCCCAGUAGUC